Molecule: long non-coding RNA, 584 nt
Filed under: Homo sapiens (human)
Lineage: Eukaryota; Metazoa; Chordata; Mammalia; Primates; Hominidae
Description: long intergenic non-protein coding RNA 1350
Source: RNAcentral
ACCCACAUUUGCACAGAUGCUGCUGCUAUAGUACUUUCAGGCAAGGCCAAGGCUUCUUGAAAGGCUGGUCAUGCCCCAGUGAUCAAUGAAGAACUCAGGGAUAUCCCAAAACUCAGGACUAUAAGGCACAAUGGGGGAGCAGGUACCAGGUGGCCAGCAUCCUAAAUGACUCUCAGCAGCUGCAGAGAAUGUAAAUAACAAGAGCUGCCUAUAAAUCUACCUCAGAAGACAAAGGGAAAAGCAAAACUCUGCCCAGGAAGACCUUACUUUACAAACCAGCUCAACCAUAUUUACCAGCCUUCCUGUGGUCAUUUGUCUGAGCUCCAGCUAGUGAAGUAUGAGUAGAACGGACAUGCACCACUUCCAGACCUGGCACCGGCAAACCCCCCAUGGCAACCCUCCAACCCUUUCCUCAACAACUGGACCACGCUGGAAAGGACUGAGGAUCUAGAGGAGGACAGGGCUGUAAUAUGGAAGGAGUUUGGUUUCUGAAGGACCAUGUAGCAGGCCACCUGCAGGGCGGGAACAUCUUUAAUAGGUUUGGAAUAGCAAGAAAUAAACUGGUCUUGUAUUAAACAACUAAU